RNAcentral lists this transfer RNA (72 nucleotides) under Escherichia coli. Its description in RNAcentral is "tRNA-Met". It matches the Rfam family "tRNA". Rfam says of the family: Transfer RNA (tRNA) molecules are approximately 80 nucleotides in length. Their secondary structure includes four short double-helical elements and three loops (D, anti-codon, and T loops). RNAcentral also lists the same sequence under 13 other names. Lineage: Bacteria; Pseudomonadati; Pseudomonadota; Gammaproteobacteria; Enterobacterales; Enterobacteriaceae. The record is from RNAcentral.
GGUGGAGCAGCCUGGUAGCUCGUCGGGCUCAUAACCCGAAGGUCGUCGGUUCAAAUCCGGCCCCCGCAACCA